GUAGGUGAACCUGCGGAAGGAUCAUUAACAAAUCUUUCAACACAAACCCUGUGUAAACGUUUGCGUUCCCUUGUGUGUGUGGUGGUGUGAGUGAUGCGUGCUAGGUAACACUAGCACCCCAGAGCUCACAGCUACCUCCAAGGGAUCGUCUUUAUUAUACUAUUGAUUGACAGCCUAGAUACAAAGUUAAUUAAAACAACUUUUAACAAUGGAUCUCUUGGCUCUU
This 226-nucleotide unclassified non-coding RNA is filed under the name rhizosphere metagenome. RNAcentral's name for it is "partial ribosomal RNA internal transcribed spacer region". The record is from RNAcentral.